GAAAUUAACCUUUGUAGAAAGUCGUCACCCCUUCUUUCGCCUUAUUCUUGUUCGUCGGGCGUUCACAGCAAUCGGUAGUCGUCGUUUCCUCUCGCCAGUUAAGUCCUGCGAGUAGAAAAUCAGCUCGGUUGAUAUUUAUUGUCAAGAGCACAAAGCUGAAUACUGUAAACGAAGAUAAUUGUGCUAUUUCAAGUGAAGAUUCAAGGCAUAACAGGAAUCUUUGAGGAGGGUAAAAUUAAGGGGAAGGAUGUCGAAGUCUUGCAAAGGUUUAGCGAUGGAACUGGUCAAGUGUCUCAGCGAAUCCGAUUGUGUAAAGGUCCAGAACCGAACUUACAAGGAAUGUGCUGGAGAGAAGAGUCCUUGCAUUCCUAGCGAAUGCGUGGGAUUAAGGGAAACAUAUUUCAAUUGUAAAAGAGGCCAGGUUGACAUGAGGGCGAGGAUUCGGGGGAACAAGGGUUAUUGAAUGAGGAAUGGAGAUUUGGGAAAGGCCUGGAGCAAUCCCAUGGGAAGAAGUUUGAAACUUUGAAUGCCUCGAAGCUUGUCUGCAAUGAAUGACCUGUAAAAAUCUUGCCCUUCUGCAUGUACUCAGUCAUGUCUUCUUCCUUUUUAAUUAUGGUGGGAGAGGGGGUCGAGUGAUUGUGUUUUCUUAUGUUUUGGGGUUCUUGCAUUAACUUUACCAUGGCUGUUCAGUACUGAAGAUUUUUACCAUUUACACAACUACAUACACUACUAGAAGAAGGAAGGUAUGAAGAAAUUGAUUUUGUUAAUGAAUCAAGUACACACCUAUAAUGUUGCAAAAUUAUACGCAAUGAUGUGGUGUAGAAAUGAAGGCAUGUAUGCAUAAAUAAGCAAAAGGAGUCAACGUUUUGGCGGUGAAUGAGAUAAGAAACUUACAAAUUUGGGCAAAUAUGGGCAAAUUCCAGAGCGUUUCCAGUGGGGGUAGAGAGAGAAAGAGUCUGGUAGAGAGAGAAAGCCAUGAAAGCGAGCGACGAAGAAGAAACGCCAAGUAGAAUUCAAACAAAGCCUGCCGCGUCUUCGUGUCAAAAAGGCUCUCUUCAUGAGGAUUCAUGUAUGUGGCUGCACUUCGAAUUAUUUCUACUGUCUGGUCUUCUCAUAGAAUAUGAAGGGGAGAGGAAAUGAAGAAAUGCUCUAACUGCUGGUAGACUGAAGGGUAUCAGCAAUGGAUUUGGAUGUUGUUCAUGAAUUUUCAUAGCUUUUGGAAGAAAGGUUAUAAAAUAGUUACUAUUAAGUUUAUGACAGGAUCUCAGGCUUAUGACUAGCAGAAUGUGUGUGGGGAGUACAUGGAUUUGAAUAUUUGAAUUCUUGGGAGCUGCAAACAGUUUCUAAUCAUCUGUGUUUAUUAAUUCCGA
Cucurbita pepo subsp. pepo (vegetable marrow) is the source of this 1370-nucleotide non-coding RNA. The record is from RefSeq and is a predicted model, not a curated record. NCBI's taxonomy places the organism in Eukaryota, Viridiplantae, Streptophyta, Magnoliopsida, Cucurbitales, Cucurbitaceae.